CCUACGGGUGGCAGCAGUGGGGGAUAUUGCACAAUGGGGGAAACCCUGAUGCAGCGACGCCGCGUGUGGGAAGACGGUCCUCUGGAUUGUAAACCACUGUCUCCAGGGACGAAGAUGACGGUACCUGGGGAGGAAGCUCCGGCUAACUACGUGCCAGCAGCCGCGGGAAUACGUAGGGAGCGAGCGUUGUCCGGAAUUACUGGGUGUAAAGCGCGCGUAGGCGGGACUGCAAGUUGGGUGUCAAAUCUACGGGCUCAACCGGUACUCGCACUCAAAACUAGAAUACUUGAGGGAGAUAGAGGGAAGGGGAAUGCCAGGGGAAGCGGGGAACUGCGGAGAUAGAGGGAGGAAAA
Molecule: ribosomal RNA, 353 nt
Filed under: uncultured bacterium
Lineage: Bacteria
Description: partial 16S ribosomal RNA
Rfam family: Bacterial small subunit ribosomal RNA
Source: RNAcentral